RNAcentral lists this ribosomal RNA (270 nucleotides) under uncultured Enterobacterales bacterium. RNAcentral's name for it is "partial 16S ribosomal RNA". It matches the Rfam family "Bacterial small subunit ribosomal RNA", at positions 526 to 795 of the family's 1533-position model. Lineage: Bacteria; Pseudomonadati; Pseudomonadota; Gammaproteobacteria; Enterobacterales. The record is from RNAcentral.
CGGAGGGUGCAAGCGUUAAUCGGAAUUACUGGGCGUAAAGCGCACGCAGGCGGUUUGUUAAGUCAGAUGUGAAAUCCCCGGGCUCAACCUGGGAACUGCAUCUGAUACUGGCAAGCUUGAGUCUCGUAGAGGGGGGUAGAAUUCCAGGUGUAGCGGUGAAAUGCGUAGAGAUCUGGAGGAAUACCGGUGGCGAAGGCGGCCCCCUGGACGAAGACUGACGCUCAGGUGCGAAAGCGUGGGGAGCAAACAGGAUUAGAUACCCUGGUAGUC